UACGUAGGGGGCAAGCGUUGUCCGGAAUCAUUGGGCGUAAAGCGCGUGUAGGCGGCCCGGUAAGUCCGCUGUGAAAGUCGGGGGCUCAACCCUCGAAUGCCGGUGGAUACUGUCGGGCUAGAGUGCGGGAGAGGCGAGUGGAAUUCCUGGUGUAGCGGUGAAAUGCGCAGAUAUCAGGAGGAACACCGGUGGCGAAGGCGGUGGUCUGGGCCGGAACUGACGCUGAAUAGCGAAAGCGUGGGUAGCGAACAGG
Molecule: ribosomal RNA, 253 nt
Filed under: uncultured bacterium
Lineage: Bacteria
Description: partial 16S ribosomal RNA
Rfam family: Bacterial small subunit ribosomal RNA
Source: RNAcentral